AAAAAGAUGAUGAUAACUAAUAUUAUACAAGAAGAAAGAGAAGAAGCAAGAAAAAAAAAAAAAAAAAAAAAAAAAAUAACUGAAACUUGAAAUAAGUGGCGAAAGAUAUUUCAAAUUUCAUUAUACAAAAUUUUUCUUUUUCCUUUUUUUUUUUUCUUUUAGAAGAUAUAAUCUUAAUUAUAUUUUAUAAAAUAAAUUAAAAAAAAAAAUAUAAUUGUAAAAUCUUCUUAACAAGAACAAAUACAAAACGUUUGUAUUCCUAUUAUUUCAUUAAUGAAAUGAAAAUUUACAAACUUGAUAAAAUAAAAAAAAUAAAAAAAUAAAAUAAAUCUUUACGAAUGUUAGAGAUAAUUUUUAUAUAUUUUUUUAUUUUUUACCUAUUUAUCAAAACACCAAAAGGAAAAAAAAAAAGAAAAGGAAUAAAUAAAUAAAUAAAUAUAUAUAUAUAUAAUAUAAAUUAUAUAUAUAUACAUAUUUGUCAAUUGGACAAAAUUGUUUGCUCCUUUGACACAGUAUGGAUUUUUUUUUUUUGCUUUUUUUGCUUCUUCUCAUUUCUAUUAUCAUGAUUGAAGAAUGGAAAAAAUCUUUGGUAAUCUGAUUUUUAAUGA
RNAcentral lists this small RNA (608 nucleotides) under Plasmodium reichenowi. RNAcentral describes it as "small nucleolar RNA". The record is from RNAcentral. Lineage: Eukaryota; Apicomplexa; Aconoidasida; Haemosporida; Plasmodiidae.